AUUGAACGCUGGCGGCAGGCCUAACACAUGCAAGUCGAGCGGAUGAAGGGAGCUUGCUCCUGGAUUCAGCGGCGGACGGGUGAGUAAUGCCUAGGAAUCUGCCUGGUAGUGGGGGAUAACAUCCGGAAACGGGCGCUAAUACCGCAUACGUCCUGAGGGAGAAAGUGGGGGAUCUUCGGACCUCACGCUAUCAGAUGAGCCUAGGUCGGAUUAGCUAGUUGGUGGGGUAAAGGCCUACCAAGGCGACGAUCCGUAACUGGUCUGAGAGGAUGAUCAGUCACACUGGAACUGAGACACGGUCCAGACUCCUACGGGAGGCAGCAGUGGGGAAUAUUGGACAAUGGGCGAAAGCCUGAUCCAGCCGUGCCGCGUGUGUGAAGAAGGUCUUCGGAUUGUAAAGCACUUUAAGUUGGGAGGAAGGGCAGUAAGUUAAUACCUUGCUGUUUUGACGUUACCAACAGAAUAAGCACCGGCUAACUUCGUG
RNAcentral lists this ribosomal RNA (484 nucleotides) under uncultured bacterium. RNAcentral's name for it is "partial 16S ribosomal RNA". It matches the Rfam family "Bacterial small subunit ribosomal RNA", at positions 30 to 507 of the family's 1533-position model. The record is from RNAcentral.